This 17845-nucleotide long non-coding RNA is filed under the name Gallus gallus (chicken). The record is from RNAcentral. Lineage: Eukaryota; Metazoa; Chordata; Aves; Galliformes; Phasianidae.
CGGGCGCGGUGCCGCGGAGCGGCCGCGCGGUGAGGGGUGCGGGGGGGUCUGACGGGGAAACAAAGGGGAACAAAGCGACGGCGGCCGCGGCUGUGCCGGGCUCUUCCCUGGCGAAGGGUGGGGAUCGCCCUCAAAUUAACGGCGGUGUUGGGAAGGAGGUGGUUUUCGGGUCUGAAAGCGGAAGGGAUCGGGGUUGCGUUGCGCCAUUCGGUUUGCUGCAGGCCGGUAUCAAUCACAGCAAAAUCAGCUCUAAAAAUCGUGUGUGUGGCGGGGGGAGGGGGGGGGGGAGAUGCGGGGGACCCUUUGUCGGCGGAACGCGGCGCAGAUCGGUGCGGGGCGGCGCGGAGGGCCGCGGCCCGGACGGCCCCGUCGGUGUGCGGGGCCUCCGCCGUGCCCCGUGCGGGGCCCGCGCCGUCCCCGCGCCGAGAACGGAGCUCCGGCAGCGCCGGGACCGGGGGGAGCCGCUCCGAGCGGUUCUGGAGUUUUAAACGCGGUUCUGCGGGGUGCGAGCGAGGAGCGUUGGGGUUAAUCAUUCCCACUUAAAAAAAAAGAAAGAAAGAAAGAAAGAGAGAAAAUUAGCCACAAGCGGCGCGUUUGGUAAUUAAAGCGAUUCGCGUGAAAGAAUAAUGUUUGUUAAGCGAGGUGGUCGGCGCGGCUCCGCGUGUGUGCGGUGUGCGGCCACUUCGCUCCUUGGGCUUUUCGGAAAGGCGGCCGUACGCGCUGCACGCGGAGCGACGGUCCCCCGUCGGUCCCCCGCCUCGGCCGCGCUCCGUGCCGUGCCCCGGGGGUGGGCGAGGGGGGCAGCAGCAGGAGGGGGGGGCACUUAUUCCCAGCUCACUCCUUCACAUCGGCUUCGCUACGUCCAGAAAACGACACUUAAAACAACAAAAAAGGAACUCUUCUUCGUUUUUCUCCCUCAAAUAAUUCCCCGUAUGCAGACACGGAGCUUUUGCUCGCGAACCUAUUGUUCGGCUACGAGCUACAGUUUGCAGUGAUCUGUAUUUGGCGACGAUAGCUAUUCUGUUGCGAUAUCUGUGUCGUUACAGCGCUGCGGUCGGGGCUCUCCCCUCACCGUUCGGGAGCUCCCCGUGGGGCGGUGCAUCCCGAGCCGGGGCUGCGCCGCGCCGCUUUGCCGCACUUCCGUCCCCCCGCGUUAUUUGUCGGUGGCAUUUCUGGGAGGACCGCUCUCUCGGCGCUCCCUCCGCUGCCGCCGCCGCUCCGUCGGCCGCUCGGAGCCGUUACGGGACCGUUCCCGGAGAGCGGAGGGGAGCGCCGCGAAUUCACGCGCCGGGGGUGGAACGGCAACGGCGGAACGCGACGAACGGGCGUUACUACCGGCUCCGGCCGUUGUUACGGGAAAAGCUGCGAUAAAACUCCGGCGGGGGCUUUUCUCGACGGGGUCCCGCUCAACUUUUCCCGAGAAGUCGACGUCGUUUAAAAGAGGCGCUGAAGGUCUGAGGCGGCGACGGGACCGCGGCGUUCCGUCGCGGAGCGGAGCGGUGCGGGGCCGCUCGGGGGGACCCCCCGGGAGGGGCGGGGGUCCGGUGGGACCUCGGGCUCCGCUCCUCGCAGCCCCCCCACCCCCAUCCCGCCUCGGGGUGAGGCUCCCUCCCGGUCACAGGGAAGAGAAAACCAUUCGGUGGUGGAAGAAAAGGCGAUUAAAUUAAAUUACUUUGGGGAUUACGGGCCACAUGCGGUGUAUUAAAGUGCUUUAAGCUACUUUGUAGCUUCUUUGGCAUUAGGGCGUUUAAUACGGGCUCGGUCGGUCUGCCCGGGAGCUUUGCUGGACGAGAAGGAGCGGGGUGGGAGGGAGACGGGACGCAGGGGAAAAGGAGACGGGAGCAGCACAGGGAGCUCGGGUCUGAGAGCUUUGCUUUGCUCCAUGUAGACCAGAUCCGGCUUUAAUUCGCCGUGCUAUAAACAAUAAUUUUUCUAAUCGGGGCCACCGAUACGAAAGGAGAACGCCCGUCUGUAGGCAGGGAUCUGAAAUGGGUAAUGCCGCCCGGGCAGCGUGCUUUGUAUGUUGCCCAUGGGGCGCGGGGACAGCCGCUGCCAGCGCCCGGCGUGCAGUGCCCGGCCGGGACGAGGGCACAAACGUCGGAGGUUUGAGGCUGAGGAAGGGGAAAGCCGAUUCCUUUCCCAGAUCCUUCCCCCCGGGAGUGAGCGCUUCGGUCGGGCAGCGCUUCGGCCGUAGGCAGAUGUGUGAGACGGAGGUUCGGAUCCGCAGGGAGAGCGGCAGCAGCGUGGGGAGCUCCUGGAAUCACGGAGCGUGUGUCGCAUUUCUCACUCGGUUCGGGAUGUACCCAGAGAGAGGGGGGGGGGGGGGGGGGGAGAAGGACGAGACGAGGGGAUUCCUCGCUUGUUUUUCCUUAAGGCAAAUAUCUGUUCCGUGGUCGAGGGAAGAGGCGGCAGCGUUUUUGCAGUGGUGCGAAGUGUGCCUGUUGCUAGAAAUGCUUCUCACUUUGUUCCUGAAAAGUGUGCCAGAUGCACUGGUGUGCUCGCACUGCUUUAUUUAUGUAAUGCGACGGGGGGGGGGGGGGGGGGGGUUGGGUGUGCUCUGUCCCUCGUGCAGCCGAUUUGGCUAAAUUUGCUGUGCUGGACUGCAAGGGCUACGUGCUCCUUUAUCCCACUGGCAGAACGGAGGGGCCUCUCCUUGCUGCUGCAUCCCUGCUCCUCGGGGAUGCUGCUCGGAAAGCCCAUCGCCCACAGCGUGCCCUGUGUUCAGCUCAGCCCCAGUUAGCCAAAGGGCUGGCGGCUUCGCGUCCCACGCUGAGGGAUGAACCGUGUGCUGCUGGGCUCAUCCGGGUUGCAGCAGGAGCUCCCUGCUCUGCUACAGCCCAGGCACAGGGAUGGGAGCAUGGAGCCCUCGCUGCGAGCAGAUGAGUGUGAGUUAAUGGGGUACAGCCCACGGGCAGGGUCAGGUUUGCUUCUGCCACAAAGAGUUCCUAAAACAUAAUAAAUAGAGCCGAGAGAAAACAAACCUUUCCCUAAGUGGGACCGCGCUGCUCUGCCCAGCUGCCCGAGGAACUGAAUGUUUUGAUGAAAUCCAUGAUGAUGUAUACAGAACAAUUUUACUCUUAACCAGCUGCCACCUUCUUUCCUGCCGUGCUGAUCUAUUCGGACCCAAACACUUUCUCUUCCUUAAGAGCAUAGAUUUGCUCGAGGAGAAUCACCGAAAACAGGGUGAAUAAUUCCUAUGAAUCAGCGCCGUCCUGAGAGAAAGCAGCACUCGUAAUCGGAAAGCAAAGCGUCCGGAGGCAGCGCUGGGAGGGCUGCAGUGCUGUCCUGCUGGCUUCCCCUCGAAGGGCUGCUCAGCCCCCCUGCCCUCUCCAUAGGCACAGCACGAGGCAGACACACAGCUCGGCCCCCGGGAAGGGGCGUCGGGACCCUUUGCCCCCUCCUCCGUAGAAACUGCUGGUGGCGCACAGAGGCCUCUGCCGCACCGGGUGAGGUUCACACCACUCUCAGGAGCUUUAAUUAGAGCCGCGCUGCACGCACUGCUUUCAUAGCUUCUCCUGUUUAUUAUUUAUGAUUUAAAGCACAGACGAAACAACGGGAGAAUAUAUUUUUUGGCUUCGCUUGCUAAGGAAAAACGGCACGUGGUGGCACGGGGCAAUAAACAUUACAAAUAAAUAAGUAAGAGGAUUUCCACGGCAGUGCCCACCUGGUGCCGGGUGGGGUUGCAUUGCGCGCAGAGCCCCAUCUGCUGGGUCAGUGCCAUCCCAUGGGGGUGCCGCGUCCCUGCCUGGGGUGGGGGAAACACCGCCCAGAGGUACGAGGGGUUUACGGGCAGAUGCCGGUGCUCCGACGACGUUUUCUUCCCUGUUAGUCCUCCCUUUCGUCAGCACGGCGGAAAAAGAGACCGCUGCGAGCCCCACGUUGACGGCGGUCAUUUAAACCGCUGCUGGGAGGGCGCGAUGGACUGCAGCGUUCGGGCUGCAGCGCGCGGCGCCGCGGCUGUGCCGUUUGUUGAGCUUAUUUCCCGGCCGAGAGGCGCGCGCCCGGCCGCACACCUCCGGCUCUGCUGCUCACAGCGGCGCUCUUUGAAGUUCGGGUGUUCGUCGGCGCGCGCAUCCCCGGCUCUGCUUCCUAAAGCCCGCCGCCGGGAACAACGCGGCCGCUCCGAGCGAGGAGCGCGGGACGGGACGGGAACGGUGCCUGAGCUGUGAGGGGCAGCCCGGGCUGUGCGGCUGCCUUCCCCCUGCGGGCAGGCGGCGAUCCGGGGUGCUCUGCGCUCUCGGUAGGGGCAGCCCAGAAACCGAGAGGGAAAAUUCAAAUAGGUGAGGCUGUGGAUGUGUUUGACGGAGAGGGUUCGGAGCGCAAAGUGAAACGGGGAUGCAGCAGAAAUUGGGUUACGUGGCUCUGAGUAAGUGCUCUCCCGUCAGAGCGGGAUUUAUUUCACAUCGCUGCUCUAGUUCUCGGCCUGAGGGUGUUUAACUCACCCGGAGCUGUUUGGCCUCCAGGAUGGAUUCCUGCAAUUACGUGUUUAUGAUUGCGAGCGCUGCCUGGGAAGCAGCAGGAGGAUAUCAUUUGGGGAGUGCUGGGAGGCACGGAGGGAGCUGGAGAGCCUUCUCCUGGGCUUCAGCCACUGCUACACUUCGGAGGGAGGCUGCAGCGCACUCCGGGCCUGACGUGCUGCUGCACUUAGCAGCUUGAAUAACAGGGCGUCAGAUAGGUAUUACUGCAUCGCCGUGACUUUAAACUCCUUCCUCGUAGUGACAACGUGCAGCUCGGGGCUGUGCGCGGUGCUCACCUCAGGCGUGUUUUCAGACCGCUCACAGCAGGCAGUGAACACGGCCUGCCCGAGGUUCCGUGGCUGCGGGCCUGCAGGGCUGGGCACGGCCUCCCACGGCCCCACACAUCUCACAACCUCAGUGACCUGCCCAGCGCCUGCCUGCUGCCCCACGGAUGCUCGGGACGCCUCGGUCACACACUGUGGUGCACAGCGUGGGGAUGCCCGGCUGUGGGAGCCCCGGCUGGGACCAGCCAUGACCGAGGCCGGACCGCGGGCAUCUAUCGCAGCCAUCUGCCUGCAGCCCCACGCCAGAUGUGGCUCGAAGUCCUCAGAUGCCCUCUGCUGCCACGGACCAGAAUUAACAGAUGGCUCCGUGUAACCGGGUUUAGAUUUGCUGAAGUUUGCUAUUAUCUCCGCUUUUGUAAAUGGAUGGGGGCGGGGAAAUAAUAUCUGGGAUUAUUACAAAACAGGCAGAGCUUUUCAAAAAGUGUUAAGUCUGGGGCUGGGUCCCUUCUGACUCUGAAUGCCAUUGUCCCACAUUUCAAAAUGUUAACUCUAUUUUUAGCUUUCUCUUCAGAGCUCCCUCCCCUGAUAGCUUAUCCCUCUCGGCAUGAGUUUGGCCCAGCGAGCCGCCCAGGGCACGGCACACUUUGCCCCAGCAUUUUGAGCCCCAUUGUGCCUGAUGGAACCAACUCUGGUGCUGUGGCCGGGCUCUGCUCAGGGCAGGCACUGAGGGACGCAUUCAGCUGCCCGAUGUCCCUCAGCGUCACACAGGCCAGCAUGCAGGGGUCUGUGUCUGAAAUGGAAUGGGUGGCACCGAUGUCCCACACACAUGCCUGUGUCAGGGCAGGUCUGUGUGCAGGGAUACACACAGCAGGCCUGGAACACAACAGAUCCUGGAGGGGAUCCCUUGGCAAGCUCCGGGAAUUGAGCAGCUUUGCCGUGCCUGAGCUUUUGCUGUGCCUGAACUUUUGCUGUUUCUCACAGCAGUUCCUAUGAGUAAAAGCCAACCGAGCCUCCCCACUUAUGCUCCCAGCUUGGUUCCUAAUGGAGGGGACCAGGGUAGGUUGUGUCCCCUCUCUGUACAGUGCCAAAGCCACCUCAUGUCCUGGGGCCAGCUGCUCACUGGGAUGGGAUGGGAUGGGAUGGGAUGGGAUGAGCUUCCCCAGCCAUCCUCCAUUUUUAGCCACACAGUUCUAUGCUGCUUGCACUGUUCUAAAGCUUGCUUUCUUUUCUUUCUUCUUUUUUAUUUCUCUUCUAGAACAUAAUCUUGAAUUUACAGAAGUCCGUGGCAAAAUCUGGUUGUGAAUGGGGGCUUUGUUCUGCGAGACUAUUUCUGAAGACUCCUGGCUCUCUGUCUGCCUUUGUGUACAAGGCUGACACACGGGCCCAUCCACCCGCGCUGUGCCCAGCAGCACACCCUCUCUUUCCAGCUGCCCUCUUGCAGGGAUGCACACAGCUCUCCGGUGGGUGGGCUGUAUCCCAUCACCGUGGCAAACCUGUGGGGCUGUGAUAGUUUAUAAAACCUGACAGCAUGGUCCAUUGCAUGUACUUUUUCUAAAUCCAUAUUUUUCCAAUUUUUUUUUUUUUCCUGUAGUGGCAAGUUUUUUUUCUGUCCAUCUGGGAGCAGAAUCCUGUGCUCAGCGUAUGUAAAUAACAGCUGUUUCCACUCAAUUGCAUUUAUGUACUUAACACUUCAAAAUAGACUUUUUUCUAGAAGUUUCACAAUCUAGUCACCAUCCGUGCUUAGACUGAGGUACUGGGGGAGAGAUUAAUGAAACCCCUCCGGAGUGGCUGACAAAAGUAUACAGCUGUAGCUCUGGAAUCCCUGCACAGGAUGGAUCGCUGAUGCUGACGGCCGUGCUUCAAUGCACUGUGAAGGCAACUUCACUCCUUAGGCACCCUCAGCUCUGGCUUCUGGGGCUGCUGAGGGGGUAGCAGGAUGCCAGGUGAGGAGAGGAGCUGUUCUGAACUGGUAGUGCCUUCCUAGCAAAGUUAAUUUGUCAUGCAGAGCAGCUGAACAGGGGAAACAAUGGCAAGUUAUUUACAGGGAAAAGCUCAUCCGCCAGUGUCGCAGAUUUUUGAAUGCAUUAACCUAUUGCAUUCUGAGAAGAAAGGCAGCUCUUUAAUGCUCUGGUAUGUCUUUUGUUGUAAUGCCACUAGCUCUGAAAUGAAAAUACAGCCUUUUGGUUUUAAAAUGCCUCGAUGAAGACUUCAAGAAAUUAAUGUCCAAUUAUUUUUUUUUUGUCCAGAAGCCUCAUUAUUUUCUCAAAUGCCUCAACCUGAGCUAUUUCAUUAGAGUUUUGGAUCCUCUGAAGGCUGAGGAUUACAGAACAUUGAUAUUUAGUUACCCAUUCAUUCAAUUUACUGCAAUGCAGGCCGCUGAAAGAGUUGUUUGUUCCUAAAUCCAGGCUGUUUUUUAUGUCACUGUCUUUUUUAUUUUGCUUAUCCAGAAGAAAAAUACUUUGAUGUUUACUGCUGUCUCAACUGGAACACCUGUGAACCGGGCAGGACCAUGCUGAGGACUCAAGCUGUGAGGAGAGAGCAAUAACGGUGUGGGAGCUGUUGCUCUCACACAUUCCGAUGUGCCUGUGCCAGAGUGUUUAUAGCAGAAGCAAAGAGGACCUGAGCUCGGGUUGUCUGUGAGAACAGCCACCUGCUCCCACAGGGCAUGUCUGUAUUUCUGGAUAAGAACAUUCCUGAUGCCAGGAGGACCGGCUUACAUUUCCCACCCCGCAGUGCUCCCCAGACUCUGGUGCCCUGCGGGUCCAAUGUGGAAUGAUGCCUUUUUGUGUCUCUUUCAGUUCAGAGUGCCUGAAAUGAGGUGAGACCGCUCUGCAGCCUCCAAGAAUGGUGCUUCCCUAGUGUGAAUGGGAGGUACAUGUGUGUUUUGGAGCAUGCUAAUGUCUGAGGGUGUGCGGCCAUCUUGGGUUGCUCUGGGCAGAGGCACAACAAGGCCCGGCCUCUGGCGCAGGCCCUGCACUGCUAGGGGGGCCAGCUGGGAGAGGGCUGAGGGGAACAUGGUGAGGCAGUGUGGGCGCUCAGCAGCCCCAAGCUUGAGCUUGGUGACCAGGCUCAGAGGGGUCAGCCCGUCGGCCUGCUGAUGGGCCCAGCUGGCCGGGCACAACCAGCACUCUGCAGGUGGUGUGCUUCACUCUUAGGAAAGCACAGGGAUUCUCAGGGGUCAUUUCCUCAUGUCACAAGUUAAAGCCUGAGCAGUGUUGAAGCAAAACAGUCAGAAGUUUGAGGGCCAGGACCAGCCAAGCAGCGUGGGGGUACUCACCACUGUUGCCUGCCUCAGGGUUGCCCACACCCUCCCUCCUUCACAGGCUGUGCCCCAGCCACGGUCACCGUGUCACCUUUCAGCCACACCAGUGGCUUCAUUGGGCUCAUUUCAAGUCUUUUUCUUCUUAAACAAUAUACAAUAUAAUAUAAUAAUAUACAAUAUAAACAAUACAGCUGUAUAAAGUCAAUGAAUUGUAACCCACAUGGUCAAUGUGACACAUGGAGUGUUUGUUGCAGUAGGUUUGAACAUACAAAUACACACUCUAGAAAGAGAAGUGUUAGGCCAUUUUUCUUAUUCUCCCUGUUAUGGCGAACACUUGGCACUGUGUGUGCCCUCCUUCUCAAUCAGAAAUCCUUUCUCUUAAUCAGUUCCUAAAAUCCAUAGAACUCGUUGCCAUCCUUGGUUUCUCCAUCACUAAAUACAAGAUUUUAACUGCAUAAAAAAUGGGAUGGGAGCGAGGCAGUUUGACAAAGAUGUAAGGUACUCAUGGAAAACAACAAGCGAAUCCUGACCUAAAAGUGGGGACGUGGUUUAGUGAUGCAAUAUUGGUGGUAGCGGGAUGGUUGGACUGGAUGGUCUGGGAGGUCUUUUCCGACCUUGGUGAUUCUAUGACUCUAAGUCAGGAUUAAAAAAUACAGAAUAACCAAAAAAUUAAGAGGGAAUGUGAACUUUUAGAUUACCAUAAACUAAUGUAAACAAACAGUUAGACCUUUUUCCCUGGAAUUACUUUAUUGACUGGAAGCCUCAGAGCACCUUAACGAAAGCAGAAGCAGAGAGAAAGUCCGCAGCACAGCCAUUUUGUUAUUUGUCGUGUUCGUCUUCUGUAGCUACCUGGAGGUAACAGAUAGAACCAUGGGCUCAUCAGAAGAGGGACUACAGAGAUGCAUAAAAUAAGCAACUCUUGUUUAUUUGGAAUAAAUAAAAUGAAAGAAAAAAAAUUAAGAGCUUCGCUACUAACUUUUAAUAUUUUUAGUAUUUAGAUAAUUAAACAAAAGGAGGUGAGAGAUUAAAAUCCUAUGCACAGUCGUUAAGCAUGUGCAUUACUGCAUACAGAGAACAAAAACCAGGAAGUUAGAAAGCUGUUGCAGUGAAGGCAAAACACAUUGCUUCAUUUGCUCAGCAAGAGAAAACUGCUUAGUCUUUAAAAUAUUUUGCUGACUUUCUCAUCUCCUCAUUCAGGACUUCUGUAUAUGGACUACAUGCUACUAAAGGUUAGCAGGAACAGCAAAAAAAAAAGGUUUCACCUUUAAGCAGAGUACUUCUGUAUUUCUGUCUCUGCUCUCAAACUGUUGCCCUACCCUCCCAACUCAACCAACCAAAAAAUAAUUCCCAAACACAAUAAAACUACUUUUAUUUGCUAUGAUAUGGGCAUCUAAAUCUCCACCGCCCUUCAAAGAAGAGAGAGAAGCACCUCCAGAAAACAACGUGUGGCUUAUUCUAGGUAUUUUUUUUUUAAAUGGGAUUUACUGCCUCAUUGAGGUACUUUGUAUGUGUGUCCAUUGACUAUACAGUGAGUCUACGACAGUUAACUCAGGUUUAGAUGUCUAAUUAGUAGUUGUCCCAACAUUAAGAAACAAGUCUAGCUCUUAUAAAUUGUAGGUACACAAUUAGUCUGAACUUUAUUCUAGUGAAAAGUGGGCUCUGAGUCAAUUUAUUCUCCAGUAGUAUUGAAGCAAAACACGCGUCCUCCAUAACAGAAGAGGGAUGCAGCCUGCACAGUCUAUGUCUGCUUGACCAUAUAACCUUGUACUGUUUUUCAGGAUAGAACGAGCAUGUGGGCAAUUGUAACAACGCACCACGAAAACUGGAAUAACUGAGAAAGGCAGCGUCGACAUCAAACAUAAAUUACUAUUAUGAUACACUAUAAAGCUGCAGCAGAGAUGUAGUGGUGGCACAGCAGAAGCUGGAGAUGUCAGGUGAAAUCCAGGCCCUCCCAACAGCCAGCUUUUCCAUGGGGCUGAAUAGCUGCAUAGGGCUGGGGGGAUGGGGUGGCUCACCACUCCCUCCAUUCUUGUCUCGAGGAACUGGAGCAUACAGACACGAAACUCGAAACUCGUCAAAUGGGCACAUUUGGCAGUGCUGUACUACUGACUCAAUUUUUCAAAGCCACAAGGGUUGGGUGCUUUUUGCUGUUGUUUAGUAAGUAUGAAGAAAGAUACAUCUCUGAUAGACUAGAAAAGUCAAACAGUUCAAAGCAAACAAGAAAGUGCUAGAAAAGAACCUUUGACCCUUUGAAUCCAAGCACUUUCAGACCUUCCAGGAAAUAUCUUAUUCUUCAGUACUUGCAAAUUUAAUUAAACAACAGCUGGUGCAUGUCGCUCAUAGUGUUAAGUCCCACGAUUCAGCUAUAUGAUCUACGGCUUCGGACAAACCCAGUAGAGCCACUGUGCAAGACUGCCUCCCGGUGGUGGUACCACGAACCUGCAGAAUGACAGAAUUUGCACACAGAAAAGGCAAAAAACCCAUUCCAAAAGAAGGCUUCCUUUUUGAAUUCAGGUCUAGGUAGAGUAAGGGAAAAAUUUCAGUGAGGUUUUAAUGGCUUGAAUUGAGGACAAACCUUUUGAUAUGUGACUGAAGCAGAGCUUCUAGUGGAAUAGCGUACUAACAAGGAAAGCUCAGAGAGACUUUCAGUACAACAUUAAAAUAAGUUAAAAAUCAGCAAGAUGUACUCAAUUGCACACUGUCCGCAGCAAUGAGCCUCCUGAAGUCUGAAACAAUACCUAUUAAGCACAAGGCAGAUGGCUGAGUGCCAUAACUUGGAUACAAAAACACUACAGCAGAUUUCCCAUUCUACCAAUUCUACGUAACCCAAAUUUUCAGUUACAAAGUUAGCACAAGUGAAAAAAAAGACAACAGAAAGCCCCAAACUGCCUUUCAAAUUGAUUGUUCUUUUAGGCAAAAGCAGGAAAAGACUCCAGCAGAUGGAUUUCCAAUUCCAAUUCUUCAAGUAAAGAGAAACACACAGUUAAAGACAGCUUUAUGUAGCUGUUCAAGAUGAUGAAAGCCAAGAGGACAGCUUGAAAUUACUGUGGGAAUAGGAGUUUAGUUGGGUCACGCUUCAGAUGACCCAGACGAAAGAUUUAGUAUAAGAAAACAGAAAUAUUGGCAGCGCAGUGCAGGGAAAGAUUUUAAAACACCCAUUUUAUGGAUUCACGUAACAACAAAUUGGCAGAGGGUACGCGCAGUGAGCGCGUCUCAGACUCGCUCAGUUCCCAGUAACUGCUCAGAAGAGGAAGCACUUUAAAUCAGCUAGCAGUCCCACACAUAGCAGAUGUGUAGUCCUCCAAAUACCUGAGGAGUGUUCAAAAACACGAGGGAGAAAAUGAGAAAUGUAACAACAUUUCUGCAGUGACUGCGGGUGAUAAAUUGUCAGGUUUGACAGGAAAGAACAGACAAAUGUAGUAAUACUGUGCUAACAAAAGGCUUCUGCAGAAGAAAGUGUCUUAACAGCAUUAUGCAGGCAUAAGCAAGAAUGUGUUUGUGGGGGGGAUAAAUACUUGAAAGCUGAACCCAAGAAAGAACAUCUUUUCUUAAAUCGGAAUGAAAUCAGGCAGGGACAAAUUAGGUCUCAGCUUCCCAAAAAGAAUGGUGGUUCAGUUUUACAUGGUGGAUUGUAACAAAGGGGUGAGCGUGAGAUGUAACCUUCUCACAUACGGACCUGUGUCAGUAACAGUAACGCCAUAAACCCAUGCACAUACUAACAUUUGCUAUGCCACCAAUUACUAAAAACCCUUCAAAAAUGUGAUACUGUAAGCAGAAGAAUAACUACUUUUGUUCAACCGAAUGUGCAGAGUAAGCAGAUGUCCUUCCCAUGAACACAACAAACAUUCCUUCAUGACAGUAUGUUGUCAUGUGAGCAACGCAUUGUGUCACACAAAGCCAGAAUCACUGUGCUGAUGUAGGAUUACACACGGCAUCAGAUUAACAUAGAAGCAUAGCAGAGAGGAGCAGAACUAUUCCAUGCUAUCCCAGAACAAAUCAUUUUGGGCUAACUGGUAUUACAUGUUAAAAGUAACAGCCAAAUACUUAAGACUAGCUUGACGCAUCUGACAUUAACUUCACACAAUGAAAGCACUCAAGGAAAACAAGUUAUUAAGAAUUCUAGAAAAAAGCAGGUGUACUUCACACUACAGUGUGUGAAUUAGAGACUUUACACAGUACUCAUCUUCUGGCAAAACACAUGGAUAACACAAGCAGGCAAAAUGACACUAGAUGAAUGCAAGAAACAAGUACCUUCCUGUCUUAUCCAAGUUGCCUUGGACAGAAAGUGUGAUGACAGUAUUUUAUUAGCAGAAAUAUUUAAGCACUGCAAGGUGCUGAAGCUAUGAAGCAGAUUAAAACCACGUUUCUUGAAUUUAAAGCAUUUGAAGGACCAGUCCUUUCCCCUUGGUAAGCUGGAAAGAGUAGGUAUCUUCACUGAAUCAUUACUGGGCUAAAGCAAGGAACUAUUCCUCCCCUGAGCUACACCUGUUUAAUUUAUAUACAAACAUACACAGCAUCCUCACCAAACAAUAGUUAGGGUGAAUUUAAAAUUAAAAACAACAAAACCAUACACAAAUAUCUCAAAUAUUUGGGAAUACCGAAUGAUUAAAGGGCGAGGGAUGCCCUGGAAGCUGAAGUUUAACCAAGUUGCCCAGCUUCCAGUGUAAGAAAAGAGCCUUAAAUUCUUUAAACCUCAGUAUUCAAAGCUCAUCUGCACUUCAAGUAUUAGAUUUCUAAAAUAAGAAACCACAGCACGUCCAGUUCUUGAACUCCCACUCUGAAAUACUGCUUCUAUGCACUCACUUUACGAUAAGCCUCUGACCUACUUUAAUCAGAGCACUCCAUCAUCUGUUACAUGCAGAUCUGAGACCGGCACAUUCUCUGACCCUCCGCACACAGUAUUCUUCAGAGCCCUCACGUCAUCAGUGCACUUCUGUUGUUUUCCUAUUAUCAACUAAAUGAAAUGGGAAAAGUCAAAUUUAGUUAAGCAUGGUUUCGUUAAAACACACAUGCAGAACUGAUAAACGUUUCUGUAUUUUUUUUAUUUCAAAUAAAGGUCAAUGACAACGUGCUCACGAGCAACAAGUCAUCUUAAUCAUCUGUCUUUAGGAGGAUUAGGAUUCUUCCGUCUUCUCUGAUACCUAGGAGAUAAAAAAAAGCUGCUGUGAAUGCAAGUUUUGGAAAAAUCUUUGAUUUUCCUGACCUUCUUCCCUCCAGAAGCAGUUUGGAGACUACACACGUAAGCAAAAUAUAAGACAACACAAGCACAGUUUAUGACCAUUCAUUAGAUGUCAUCCCCGUUGUUCAUGAAGUUACAUAACACUACUCAUUUCUGCUGCUACAUCUGCUACAAGCACACAAUAAUCCAUUCAGCUGUAGAACUGAUUAGAUACAAAGGCUGCUGUUUACUCUUAAUCCUUUGUGUGAGGUUAACUUUAUUAUACAGUCAGGGCUUCCUCUGACCAAAAUGAUUGCUGCAGAGCAAUCAGGGGUACAAGAAGGAGUUAUGUCAGACUGUACUUUAAAUAGUGUCAUACUCUACAGCCAAAUAAUUAAAAAAAAAAAAAAGUCUUCACAACAAAGAAAGAUAAAUUGUGUCCCUGCUGUCUUAAUUAGCCACCCUUAAGCAAGGCAGAUACAGUACGAUACUCAUUAAGUGACAACUAUCCUCUGGCCAUAGGGAGCUCCACUAUUUCAUUUUCUUCGCUUGUUCUCAAAACAUAAUCAUUAAAAAGGUUUGCUGUGUAUCAAGUUUCCAGAGCUAUAAAAUUAGCAACUACCAUAACAUGUGAAAACUGUUAUGGUAGACUGGAGAAGAGUUGCAUAAACUACACUGCUAUUUGUUUCCAGUGGUGUACCUGAACACAGAGUCUCUCUUUAAGCUCAGUCACAUACGUUUGUAUCUCUUCUCCUUGUAGCAUUCUGAAGUACACCAAGGUACACUUUUCAUCAUUUCAAAUGAAUAACUUCUACUUUUUCUUAAGUCUGAGAAUUAUAUGGUUUCAAGCUGUAUUUGGCUACGUCCAUUGAGAGGGUGAUCUCACUUAUGCAGUUUUAGGAAAUCACCUGGACCAGCAGCUAAGGACACAGCAGGAGGAAUUUCUCCUCCAUGGUAUUUUACCAGCCAAGUUGCAAAGGCAAUGGAAGGGGCACAAUUUAAAAAAAUAAAUAAUACACAGUCUUCCAUUUACACGACACUGCAUUUAAAACUGUCUGUAGUAGCCCACGUGCCAGGAGUAUUUCAGAGGAUGAGUUUGGAUAAAUUACAAUCAUUCUUGUGUUUCUCUCUAUGCCCAAAAGGAAUAAACAUUGAAAAAAAAAAAAAAAGAAAACUUACUGUCCCAUAGGGUACCAUCGAUGUUUUGUAGUGUAAAACAUUUUGCUGAGCUCUUCAAUUGUAAGACCUCUAUCAUUCUUCAGCUUUUCUUCAUUCAAUCUGGAUUUCAAAACUUGAUCAAGAGUUUCCUCUUUGUUAUUCACUGGAUCUGGUCGUGGCACGGGCUAUGAAAAACAGCAACGUAAGUAUUUUCUUUCCUCCUCUUUGAGGAAAAACAAAAAGUCAAACUGCAUUGAUAACAUUACUGUUUACUCUUCAAAGCUGAGAAGAAAAGAACUAAAAAGAGAAAGCAUCAUAAAAGGCUCCCUCCCUUCUCAAUCAAAACCACAUCACUGUGGGGAGGACUUCUAGAAGCACCCCAUUACCCCGGCUGCUACAGCUGAUGACUGUGUCCCACUGUCAUUACUACUGCUGAGCUCUCACCCUUACAAUUCACUAAGCUGAAUCAUAAGCAUCAAUUUACUAACACAAAAUACUCCUAUUAUUGCUAUGUAUACAUUUAUUCAUACUGAUGAUCACCAUUUAAUCGUAUUAAGUUUUUGUUUAAGUUUUUAUUGAUUUUUUUUUCCUGUGUGGUUUAUGAGUUGAAUGGAAAUUAAACCCUGAGUUUAAAAUAAGAGCACCUCUUCAUGUCCCCCAUAUACUGCUACAUCUGAACACAGGAGGAUGUAUGAGUUAUCACCUGGACUUCAAACAUCUCUGAGGAGCAUGCUCUUAGACAACCACUAGUUUUCUCUGUAGUGCACAACCAUUUCAGUACCUCAUUUAAUUCACUUCGAGUAAUGCUGUAAUAACCUGAGCAUUUAUUUGCCUGCAGCUUUCUCUCACUUCAGCUAAAAGUCCUCCAUACAGCAGCAGCUAUAUUCAUCACUCACCUCACAGAUGUGCUGCUCAUGUAAGGAACUGUACCUCUGUAUUUCAAAUGGCAAGGAAAAACCAACAGUUGUCCUAAAGGCUCAGAACUACUUAUGCUUUUACACGACUAAGCAGAGCGUACAGUUGGACGUACUUUUGUGUGCUCGUAUGGAAUCUCAAGUGAAGGGUGGUAGCAGACAAUUGUCUUCGAAUCUGAUGUCAAGGCAAGUUCCACUUUGCUAUGAAAAUAAAAAGGGACAUUCUUACAAUCCCUUACAAUUUUCAGUAAUGCUCAGUGACUGAGCAGCCCAAUUCCCAAAGAAAACUUGAUUUCACCCUCUAUUUAUGAAUUCUUCAGAAAUCUAUAAAAUAAAACCUGAAAAAAUAAGGCUCACAAGUACUUGAUCUGAACUUCUUUCUUCUUCCCAGCUAUCUCGUGUUUCUUUCUUUCUUUUUUUAUGGAAGAGAACAAAGGGUUAAAAUGGAGAUCUACAGACAGCUGGAAAUACGGUUUGAAAAAGUCUUUAAGACACCGAGGAAUGACAUUAAAAGUAACAGCAGAUCAUGCACGUCAGCGAUAUGUAGGACAACGUGACCGUAUAAGAAGUGUGGCACCAAUAAGAGAAAGAAUAGGAAAUAAAGCCCCAGGGUUCCAACCUUUAUAUUUAACAAAUGCUGUUUCCACUGAAGUUUGCCACGCAGCAGCACAACAUUACCAGGGCUUUGUCUUAACAAUAAGCAUCGGUGAAAAUGAGUGCUCUUUCUUUUGCUCUUCCACAGUUAAAGAUGCAGUGGUACUGGGGUCAUCAUCAUGUUUAGAAUGAGUCAUGCAUGAUUUUUUAUUAUGCUCAUUUUUGAAACGUUAGCUUCACAAUCAUUAUGACUGGAAACAGUACUUCACUUUAAAUUAUUAUACACCUAUAUCCAAAAGUGGAAGAGAGUGUGUUUGAUACCAUCAGAUGACAACUUGAUGGCAGAGCCAGUAACCUGCAAUAUACAUCGCAUGAGAAGGCCACGCAAAGCACGUUAACAUACCAGUUGUAGUCUUCAGGGAGCACCGAGUAUGUUGAUUUAUGACAAGCAUGACAUACAGCUCCAACUGCGAGGGAAAAAAAAAUACAAACAAAUAUGAAGUACUGUCUAAAUAGAAGCUUACUUUAUCAUGAAGAUUCCUAGUGCUAUCAAAAAUGCAGUAUUUACGUAGCCAUGUCCUACUUUUAUAUUUCCAUUGUACUGUAUUCCUAAGAAAAAAAACAUAGCAUGAACAAAACACAAAUGUCACUGCUAUAUCUCUCUAAAUACAUUAGCAAAAUAGAUGUGUUUUGAGAUCAUAUAGCACUGAAAGGGCAAAGAACAUUAUCAUAUGAUCUACAGGGAAGAUUAUCUGAUCUUUUUCUUUAAUUCAUAGCAACAUUCCCUGUUAAACUGAAUUUGUACUUUGCCAAAGGGUGGUAUAUAUGCUAUGCAAAACUACAACGCCUUGCCUGCUCUACCACUACAGAACUCAAUUCCUUCCACAGGUUCCUGUUACUCCAAAGAAAGCAAUCACAAGUGAAAUCAGGAGCUCGGGUGGACCUAGGGUUUGAACAUAUAGGGGUUAAAUAAGCUAGCUUUGAAAACUAAGGAAGGAGAAUGACACCUCAACAUUUCAUGGUCAGCUGUGCAAACACAAAGUAAGGAACAAUACAAAAUGAAUGGCUUUGACCAGUUUGAAUGCACCAUAAAAAGGUCAGACUGAGGAAGACGUCGAGCCUCUGCGAGGAAGACUUCUGGCUUCAUCCUCACGACCACCAGAGGGAGGCCCCUACUACAGACAACUCAUGUGCCAGGGAAGGGGCAGCAUGUAAACGAAUUCCCAGAAGGAUAAUGAAUAAGUAGAUGGGUUCCAAGAAUUCUGCUGAACGUGUAUGGACUUGGCUUACAAAUUUGUAGAGUUUUUGCUUGCUGGUGCACAAGUUUGGUGCAGUGAUCCCCUUGCACCCGGCCGGCCAAAUAAACCAUACCUGCUUUAUAACCUAACCGGGUUAUAUAGAGUUUGAUUCCACACAUCACAAGAGUUACAAGUAGUAAAGGCCAACAGCACGCUGGACUAUACUAGCAAACAGACCAAGGGAAGAGAUUCUCCUCCUGUGCUCAGCACUCACUAGAUUACAUCUAGAUACCACGGCCACUUUGGGCCCCUUCAAUAAAAGUAAAAUGGAAUAAAUGCUGUGAAUGCCCACCACAAUGGCUAUACAUUGCAACAUCUGCCCUGUGAGGAGAGACUGAAGGACCAAGGCUGUUUUAGCCUUAAGCCACAGCCCUGGAGAGACCUAACAACAGAUCCCAGAGGUCAUAAAGCUUCCAGUGACUGAGCAGAGGGAGCCAGGCUGCUUAGAGCACUAGAGGACAAAAAACACUGAGUGAAACAAGAGAAGCUCUGACUUGACAGAGAAAGCUUUUCCCCUUGAAGAUAACCAGAGAACAGGGCUCAGGGAGGUUUGUGCUGUCUUUCACCUUGGCAGAUUUUAAAGGCCCAGCAGGACAAAGCCCUGAGCAUCCUGGUGACAACACAUAGCUAAGCCUAAUUUGAGCAGGUUUGGCUAGAAACCACCUGAGGACCCCUCCCAAAUGAACCUUCCCAUGAUUCCAUUGCCCUUUUUUAUCAGUA